UUGGUAAUUAGUUUAAUUAAAAUUAAUGAUUUCGACUCAUUGGAUCAUGGUAAAUACCAUGAUUACCA
This 68-nucleotide transfer RNA is filed under the name Wiedomys cerradensis (cerrado red-nosed mouse). Its description in RNAcentral is "tRNA-Arg". The record is from RNAcentral. Lineage: Eukaryota; Metazoa; Chordata; Mammalia; Rodentia; Cricetidae.